UCACCAAAAUGCCUGAAUUUAGGAUGUGCUA
This 31-nucleotide non-coding RNA is filed under the name Homo sapiens (human). The record is from RNAcentral. Lineage: Eukaryota; Metazoa; Chordata; Mammalia; Primates; Hominidae.